GUGCUCCUUCGGCAGCAUAUUUACUAAAAUUGGAACAAUACAGAGAAGACCAGCAU
Molecule: small nuclear RNA, 56 nt
Filed under: Ochotona princeps (American pika)
Lineage: Eukaryota; Metazoa; Chordata; Mammalia; Lagomorpha; Ochotonidae
Source: RNAcentral